RNAcentral lists this ribosomal RNA (94 nucleotides) under Parabacteroides sp. Its description in RNAcentral is "partial 23S ribosomal RNA". It matches the Rfam family "Bacterial large subunit ribosomal RNA", at positions 2830 to 2925 of the family's 2925-position model. Lineage: Bacteria; Pseudomonadati; Bacteroidota; Bacteroidia; Bacteroidales; Tannerellaceae. The record is from RNAcentral.
AAGGGUGGUUAUAGACGAUGACCUUGAUAGGCCACAGGUGUAAGGGCGGCGACGUCCGAGCCGAGUGGUACUAAUAGCCCGGGACUUUCCUCAC